AUGUCUGUACUGAUAACCGCAUCAGGUCUCCAAGGUUAACAACCUUUGGUCGUAUAGAAUAUACGGUGGGUAAGGGAAGUCGGCAAAUUUGGUCCGUACUUACGAUAUAAGGACUGGCUCAGAAGGUUAACCCAUGCACUUUUAAAACGGUGUGUGGGACCCUUUUAGAACUGGCACGGACUCGGGGAAUCCGACUGUUUAAUUAAAACAUAGCAAUAUGCAUAAUUCUAUGGCGUGUGUGCCAGUUCUAAAAGGGUCCCCCAAGCUUUAUACAUAGUCUGAAAUAGAUGUGAACAUAUUGUGUAUUCUGCCCAGUGCUCUGCAAGUUAUUCUGAGUGACAUACAGCAUUUUUAAGCGCGGGUAAACGGCGGGAGUAACUAUGACUCUCUUAAGGUAACCAAAUGCCUCGUCAUUUAAUUGGUGACGCGCAUGAAUGGAUCAACGAGAUUUCUACUGUCCCUACUCACUCUCUAGCGAAAUUACAGCCAAGCCAACGGUCUUGGGAUAUACUUAUGUGUUGAGAUACAUUGUGUCACACGCAUAUUUUAACAACAACAUUCAACAGCGGGGCAAGAAGACCCUUUUGAGCUUGACUCUAAUCUGUUAUUGUCAUCUGGUCGGCAUGGUGAAGAUUGUAAGAGGCAGUACACUUCGUGUGUACAAUCAUGAAACACCGCUAC
Molecule: non-coding RNA, 681 nt
Filed under: Ceratocystis platani
Lineage: Eukaryota; Fungi; Ascomycota; Sordariomycetes; Microascales; Ceratocystidaceae
Description: Eukaryotic large subunit ribosomal RNA
Rfam family: Eukaryotic large subunit ribosomal RNA
Source: Rfam by way of RNAcentral